CAGCAGCCACGGGAAUACGGAGGGUGCAAGCGUUAAUCGGAAUUACUGGGCGUAAAGCGCACGCAGGCGGUUUGUUAAGUCAGAUGUGAAAUCCCCGAGCUUAACUUGGGAACUGCAUUUGGAACUGGCAAGCUAGAGUCUUGUAGAGGGGGGUAGAAUUCCAGGUGUAGCGGUGAAAUGCGUAGAGAUCUGGAGGAAUACCGGUGGCGAAGGCGGCCCCCUGGACAAAGACUGACGCUCAGGUGCGAAAGCGUGGGGAGCAAACAGGAUUAGAUACCCGUGUAGUCCCUGUCUCUUAUAA
RNAcentral lists this ribosomal RNA (301 nucleotides) under uncultured bacterium. RNAcentral describes it as "partial 16S ribosomal RNA". It matches the Rfam family "Bacterial small subunit ribosomal RNA", at positions 509 to 809 of the family's 1533-position model. The record is from RNAcentral.